This 768-nucleotide long non-coding RNA is filed under the name Homo sapiens (human). Its description in RNAcentral is "HSALNT0328132". The record is from RNAcentral. Lineage: Eukaryota; Metazoa; Chordata; Mammalia; Primates; Hominidae.
AAUCAACACUCCACUCAGACAAUGCCCAGACCUCCAGAAACCAUGUGUCAAGCUCGGAUUGCCUUAGACAGGUGCAAUUUAAGAACAGCUUUCAUCCUCUUUUCUCUCAUAUUGUCACACUAUGUGUUCUGACUUCUGGCUCCUUUCCUCACAAGAAGCUCACCCAGCUGGAACUCUUAUGGGACCUUGGCACCAGAGACCACAAAUUCCUCUUUGAAGUUUUCUAACAGCAACAAUGGAACAAAACCCAUCAGAAGAUGUCAGAAGAUAAGGAUUUUUGUCCUGAUGCUACACUUACCAGCUGUCCCUCAGUGUUCUACUUCUUAAAAAAAGAGAGAUGGAUAAACAGAGGCAACCCGAGGAUAAAGGCCUUGCUCAGUGUCACACAUUUCAGUCACUAAAUAAGACACAAUGGAUGCCAGUAUUCUCAUCCCCUCACAAAUAAAGAGCCUUCAAGCUCUUGCAGUCAACAAGAACUUUUGGAAUGAUUUCACUGCCUGAAAAGGCAGAUACAUAGGUGACACCCACAAAUAGGAAGAAAAUCAACCUGAACCUGAGUGUGUGGGCUCACUGACUCUAAGCAGUAGAGACAGAAGAAAAAGUUUUAGCAAAGAAGGGUUCUGAAAGAAAAUAAAUAUAGCUCGUUAUCAAGUGCUGUUUUUACACAGUAAAACAUGGGCAAAAUUACUCUUCUUUAAGUAGUAAUUCUUAUCUCUUGAUUAAGUCACCUACUCAUUCAUUUAAUAAAUACAUACUGAUUGUUUUCUA